GACGAACGCUGGCGGCGUGCUUAACACAUGCAAGUCGAACGGAGGAUUUAUUUCGGUAAAUCCUUAGUGGCGAACGGGUGAGUAACGCGUGGGCAAUCUGCCCUUCAGAUGGGGACAACAUCCCGAAAGGGGUGCUAAUACCGAAUACGAUCACGCUGCCGCAUGGCGGUGUGAUGAAAGAUGGCCUCUAUUUAUAAGCUAUCGCUGAAGGAUGAGCCUGCGUCUGAUUAGCUAGUUGGUGGGGUAACGGCCUACCAAGGCGAUGAUCAGUGGCCGGUCUGAGAGGAUGAACGGCCAGAUUGGGACUAGAACACGGCCCAAAUGCCUACGGGAGGCAGCAGUGGGGAAUAUUCCGCCAUGGACGAAAGUCUGACGGAGCAACGCCGCGUGAGUGAUGAAGGUUUUCGGACUGUAAAGCUCUGUUGUUUAGGACGAAAGUGCCUGUUGCGAACAGUUACAGGUAUUGACGGUACUGAACGUGGAAGCCACGGCUAACUACGUGCCAGCCGCCGCGGUAA
RNAcentral lists this ribosomal RNA (518 nucleotides) under uncultured bacterium. Its description in RNAcentral is "partial 16S ribosomal RNA". It matches the Rfam family "Bacterial small subunit ribosomal RNA", at positions 28 to 523 of the family's 1533-position model. The record is from RNAcentral.